This 332-nucleotide long non-coding RNA is filed under the name Mytilus galloprovincialis (Mediterranean mussel). The record is from RNAcentral. Lineage: Eukaryota; Metazoa; Mollusca; Bivalvia; Mytilida; Mytilidae.
CUAUAUUUGGUGUAUAGAACAAUUGCAAGGUGUACAUGUCAAUCUGAAUGGGUUUAUAUGACUGACACAUAAUUUUCAUGGAUAACUUACUGUGCAAAGCUUAUUUUAUACCUGUAUUAUGACAUUAACCCUAGUGAUGACUUGGGUAUAUGUCACCGAGGACCAGUGUGGCAUGCUUUUUUGCUAGGGGGGAAUAACUAUGCAUGUUUGACCCAAAAUAACCAAUUUGAAUGAUGUAAAUAAAGAAAGGUUUAUACAACUGUAGAACUUUUUGAGAAAGGAUUGUAUUUUAUGUUAGUAAAUAAUAACUUCAAACUCAAUCAAUUUAAUAA